This 426-nucleotide ribosomal RNA is filed under the name uncultured bacterium. Its description in RNAcentral is "bacterial SSU rRNA". It matches the Rfam family "Bacterial small subunit ribosomal RNA", at positions 356 to 773 of the family's 1533-position model. The record is from RNAcentral.
GGGGAAUAUUGGACAAUGGGGGGAACCCUGAUCCAGCCAUGCCGCGUGUGUGAAGAAGGCCUUAUGGUUGUAAAGCACUUUAAGCGAGGAGGGGGCUCUUUUGGCUAAUACCCAAGAUGAGUGGACGUUACUCGCAGAAUAAGCACCGGCUAACUCUGUGCCAGCAGCCGCGGUAAUACAGAGGGUGCGAGCGUUAAUCGGAUUUACUGGGCGUAAAGCGUACGUAGGCGGCUUUUUAAGUCGGAUGUGAAAUCCCUGGGCUUAACUUAGGAAUUGCAUUCGAUACUGGGAAGCUAGAGUAUGGGAGAGGAUGGUAGAAUUCCAGGUGUAGCGGUGAAAUGCGUAGAGAUCUGGAGGAAUACCGAUGGCGAAGGCAGCCAUCUGGCCUAAUACUGACGCUGAGGUACGAAAGCAUGGGGAGCAAAC